Molecule: ribosomal RNA, 253 nt
Filed under: uncultured bacterium
Lineage: Bacteria
Description: partial 16S ribosomal RNA
Rfam family: Bacterial small subunit ribosomal RNA
Source: RNAcentral
UACGUAGGGUGCGAGCGUUGUCCGGAAUUAUUGGGCGUAAAGAGCUCGUAGGCGGUUUGUCGCGUCUGCUGUGAAAACUCGGGGCUUAACCCCGGGCCUGCAGUGGGUACGGGCAGACUAGAGUGCGGUAGGGGAGACUGGAAUUCCUGGUGUAGCGGUGAAAUGCGCAGAUAUCAGGAGGAACACCGGUGGCGAAGGCGGGUCUCUGGACAGUUCCUGACGCUGAGGCACGAAGGUCAGGGGAGCAAACGGG